Molecule: long non-coding RNA, 5500 nt
Filed under: Sus scrofa (pig)
Lineage: Eukaryota; Metazoa; Chordata; Mammalia; Artiodactyla; Suidae
Description: lncRNA (ENSSSCG00000060895.1)
Source: RNAcentral
UAUAUCCCCAAUGAUUCACCAUUUUUACCACAAAACCGUGCUCCUCACUCUCCAGUUUUCUGGAUCUUCUCACUUAUAUUGGGAUAGAGUAAAUAAAUAUCCUUUGAGGUUCACAGGUCCAGAAUCUGGGAAUAAAAACAUAAUGGAUCCAGAUAAUCCCUAUUCUCUUUUUAAAGAAUGCUUUCACUUAAGUCCUUCAUCUAGGUUUCCGCCCAGCAGAUAACAUUUCGGCGUUGAGGUUGAUGAACACUCAUGGUCUGCUUAUAGAAGGGACUGAGUCAUGCCAUUAGUGCCUAAGGAAUUUUCUUAGCAGGGGACUGUGGACAGGAACCCGUCUGGAAUGGAGACUGGGAGUGUGGCAGGCAUGAAAUGGAUUGGUCCAUGUUCUCCAACAUACAUUCCACUCGGUGCUCUUUCUGUUUUUACAUUUGUCUAUAACUUUUCCUUACAGAACUAAGGAAUUCAGUCAUCCGUAUUACUUCUCUUAUAUUCCUCUACUUCCUGUUGUUUUCAUGGUGAAUGUUGUUUUGGAAUUUUGUAAAAGGAGAAAGAAUAAAGGCUUGAAUUAUAGGUAGAAUUCUAAGUUUAGCAAACCCAAAAGGUGGAUCCCAUGGCAAUAAUAAAAAAAUAAUAAAAACUUAGUGCAGCCUCUGAAGCUAAGAUUUAUGUGAAGACAGUGAGGCUAACUUAAUGACUUUUCCGCCUACUUGGAACAGUCAAUCCUAGGCUGAUUCAAUAGGAUUUUCCCAAGAAUUCACCUGUUAUACCUGUUAAUUACGGGAAUAGUAGAAGGUCUGGCUGUACCUAGACAUAAGAUCUUUUGUUGUAUUUUCUUCUUUGAAUUGUUGCUAUUUUGUGAUUCUUGUAUAUGCCCAAAGGUACUUUAAUAGGACAUUAUAUUUUCAUAUUUUUAGAGGUAACUUAGGAAAAGAUGACUUUUAACUGCCAUGAUAAACCAAAAAUUCUGUUGAUUAACUUUUCCUGAUAGGCCUUGAAUGUGGUAAUGUGCUUUCAUUUUGGGGAGAAAUGAUUAUUCUUCUGACCUUUUGUCAUGGUAAAAGAAAAAAGAAUGUUCUGAUGUUAUUUUAUUUUUCUUCUUCAUAUCAGAGUUAUCCAUUCAAGGAAGGUAUUCAAAGAAGAUAUAUUUCAAAAAAAAAAGAUUCCUUCAUUUAAAGCCACCUACUCAUACUUCUUAUCUUUGUUCUGUGCUCAUACCUUUACCCAAGUCUGCAUAUAGAACAUUUAGCAAUCCCGGACUUCUCGUCGAUACCAUCACUGGUGUAUAUGAACAAUAAGUGUAGUCUAAACAUUCCUCUCAUGUUUUUGCAUUUUUUUCUGAUUUCAUUGCUUUUCUUUCAGUUCAGGUAUUGCUGAUUUUUUUCUUGCAUUAGUGGAAUAUCCUAUCCUUAAUUCUACCUCCUUGAGUUAGUGUCUCUGUGAUCUGUCCCCAUCCUAAUGGGUCUCACAUUCUUCAGUAUAACUUGAAUUGCUCAGAAUAUUAUGUUCCAGCUCCUUAACUUGAUCUUACGAGAUUACCUUCUGUCUUUGCUUCUCUCCUUUUUCCUCAAGAAUGAAUUGCUGAAUUUCCUUCACAAGAUACUCUGUCAUCUGCUCUUUCUAGCUAACACUGGAAAAUUCAUACUUAUCACCAAAUUCAGAUUAAAUAAUAUUUUCUGUCACUACCCCCAGACAGUUGUAAGCAUUUUUUCCUCUGUGUUCCUACAGUAUUUUGCAUAUAUUAUAUCAAAUCUUAAAAGUUUCUGUUUUGUUUUGUUUUAAUAUUUCUUUUUCUUCCUCUAGAUUUUGACAUUCUUGAGGGCAACAACUCUGUCUUAUUCUUUGUGCCAAUAGCAACUAAUAUGCUACCUAAAACACUGUGGAGAAAAUAUAAAAAUAUAAAUGAACUGAUGCUUCUGAGUCAGUAUAAAUCCAUCACCACUUCAGAAAGAUGCCUAGGGUAUAUCCUUCAGAUAGUGGGAAAUAAAUUUAUUUUUCUAUACAAAGGAAAAAUAAAACUUUGUGGAGAAUAUUAAAUAUCUUGUUCACUGAGGUAUUUAUGAGGUUUUAGAAUUGAAUUGAAAUUCCACUCUCAGUAUAAAUCCUAGCUACAAGUCUAGCGUACUUAGGGGACUGAUACUAGAAAAAGAAACAAAAAGAAAACCAAACAUUAGGUUUUAGUCUAAGAAUUUGAGUGCUUUUUUAGACCCACCAAAUAUAAUCAGAUUUAUAUUUAUUUUUACAGAAAUGUUUGCUCAGCUAAUGCAUUCCUAAUCAAAUAAUGGGUGUUCCAUGAUGGAAAUUUCAAAUAAAGUUCUUAAGGCUGUCAAAAAGUAAAUAAGCUAACUAGAAUUAUAUUUCUUUGUUUCCCAGUGGACCUCAUAAAUGUUUGGAGAGGGGUAUGGUGUACUUAGAAAUAGGCCAGAGAGAAACUCAAUUGCAAGUUCAGGCAACAUUUCCUCCUCCACCCCUCACCCCAACCAGUGAUUUCACACAUAUCGUCUGAUGAGAGAUGUCUGUUUUUAAGUAACAAAUAUCUUCACGAUCUAUUAUUAUUUUUUUAAAUUUAAUUUGGCUUAGUUUUGACACACUCCAUACCACUUAAAAAAAAAAUCCACAAAAAAGUUAGCAGGAUAUGUUAAAAUGUACAAUUUCAUUAACAAAUUUUGUUGUAUAAAAAUAUAGCCCACUUUAUAUUUUCUCAUUAACUUUGUGCUUUUAUGGCUAUCCACAUGAAUUUUACCUGCAUGAAAGUGAGCGUGGUUUGAUCGGUUUUUAACGUGCACUGUCGCGUGCACAAGGGAACAAGGUAUGUUCUUAAAAUGUAACCUUAGAUUAUUUUGAGGCUGAUGUUGAGUUCCUUGAGAGACCCUUCCAAAAGCCUUUGACAUGCUGCAUUCUGCCCAUAAGGGUUCUCCAGCUGAACAUAAGCUCUGCUACAUUAAUUCUGGAGACAUGGGGAUCACAGAAAACUGACUCCUCUUGAAUACCCAAAUUUAAACACUAUAAACAACAGUCCAGUGCCAAUGAAAUAUUCUUGAAAAAUCCAUGAAUUUAUUUUCAGUUUUGUGGUUUGUAACACAUAAGUAAUUAAACCAAGUUUUAUGAGACAUCAUUCUGAAAGAUUUGAUUAAAAUAGAUUCGGAAGUGUUGAAAUGAAAUGGCAAAAGUUCAGAUGGUCUGUGUUUACUCUUGUUUGAAACAUCUCUCAGUGGGAAGAAUGAAAGCAGUGGGCCACAAGUUCAGCUUUUGUAAGGUUGCGAAUCUACUUUAUUUGAAAAGAAUGUGGUUCACGUGUUGUGAGACAAUUUGAGAAAAAUGAGAUUGCUGCCCUCUGAGCUCAUGAAAUAUUAGGACAAUUGGUCAUAGAAGAAAAUAGUCAAUAGGAGGUCUCUCUCAUUAGAAUAUUAGAAUGCUAAAAAUUGCCCUUAGCGUUUUUUUUCAUGUUAUCCAAGACUCUUAAGAAACCUGAGUCCUAAAAAAUAACAUAUGUAUAUAUAUGAAAUAAAUAGGAAAGAAAAAUUUAUCUAAAGACUGUUCUUUUACUCAUCUUCAUUUGCACCUUAUAAAAGCUCCAGGGAAAAUGAAUUUUUUGGAAAAGUCACACUUGACCUGACUCUUAUUUUUCACUUGAUCUUAGCCAAAAGGCCGAGAAGCGAUCUGACUCUUAUUUUUAAAGAUCAUUAGCAAGAACAGUAAUAGUACCUGGCUUCAGACUGUGUACGUCUUAUGUCCCAAUUCCUGAGAUAAAUACUUUAUGUCAUCCUCACAAAGAAACUGAAUAAUCUUGUUUUGCAAGUAAGUGAAUUGAGGAAUCUGUCUAAGGCCACAUCUCUAGAAACUGGAAGAGGUGAAAUGUGAACUCAAGUCCAAAGCCGUUGACAUUUUUGGGUACAAGAAAUUAAACUUUUUUAAAAGUUACCUACCUCUUUUUAAAAAAAAAUGGGGACUUACAGGAUUGAAAUGGACAGAAACUAGCAGCGCUCUGGAGGCUGAAGAGCUGAAUCAAUAUGAACAGGUUGUAGCAUCUUUCACUCCAGGACAGGUGUCUCCCCCACCCCCAGGCGGGUGACACUGAUGAGACACCACUGCUGCCACAGUAACCAUGGCUGCUGCUCCUCCCAUGUGCGCUGGUAGCUAGCCCUCCACCUUUGGUCAGUGGGCCAUGUCCUAGCCCCAUGGUCAUGUCAUGACUGUCACCGCAUGGGAGAGAGAAGACCAAGAAUUGGACUGCAGCCUACGAGGUUCCACUAACAGCGUGCAUGAAUGAGAACUGCCGAAAACAGAAAAGCUUCCCAUCCAGCCUCUGCAACCAGAUGAUCUUGGAAACUAUCAGCGCUUGUCUACAUAUGAAACAAACAUCUUCCCAAUGGGUUCCCUCCUUCUGUUUUCAUGCUUGUCUGUCUAGUCACAACGUAUCAACCAAAGUGCUCCCUUUAAAACCUGUCUGAUUAUGGUACUUCUUUAUUCAACCCUUCAGUGAGUUCUCAUCUUGCUCAGAGUAAAAGCUGAAAUCCAAGUUUCUGAUCCGUGGGCAGGGUUAAGGAAGUAAACAAGAAGGGAUAAUGAGACACAAUUAGAAAGCUGUCACCACACCUAGCCCACAGGCGUGUCUGUUCCCCUUGCACCUUAAUUUCCUUUCUUAUUUUUUCCUAAAACCAAGUUCUCUCCUAACUAACAAUCCGAGGUGAUACUGAAAACUUAGCUUUGACUGUAUAUAAGAAGCAAAAUAAUUUCAGAACUUCAAGACUACUUAGAUUCAAGAUACUAGCACCAUAAUGUCAGACUAGAUAAUUUAUAGAAAAAGUGAUGCUACAUUCCAACACUGUUGCUGUAACAGCAGCUGGGCAUCCUGCUAUUCAGUUCAGUGCUGAUGCUACCUGGAGUUAGUGCAGACGUCACAAGUUAAAGGCUCGGUCUCCUAAGACUGUCCACUGAUCAGACAGCAGUUUCAAGCUUUGGGUAUUCCAAAGCCACCUAGACUUCCGCCCAAGUUAGCUAUAAAUUUGGGGGUUCCCAUGACUCCUCCUUCAGUUAAGAUAAUUUGCUAGAAUGAAUCACAGAACUCACUGAAAGUGCUUUGCUUGUGACUACAGUUUCAUCCUAAUGGCUACAACUCAAGAACAGCCAGAUAGGAAAGACACAAAAGGCAAGGUCUGAAGGGGUCCAAGCACAGGAGGUUCUACCCCACGCGGCUGCAGUGUAACACCUUCCAGGUGCAUUGAUAUGUUCACUAACGAGGAAGCCGUCCAAACCUCACUGUUCAAGAGUUUGUAUCCAGAAUUACAUAGGCAUGAUUGGUUAAACCUCUAGCCAAGUCUCUGAACUCAGUCUCUAGCUCCCUCCUCUCCAAGAAGGUCAGAGAAUGGAGCUGAAAGUUCCAAACUUUUAAUGAAUCAUUUUGGUCUUUUUGGCAUGACCAGCUCUUCUUUUGAAACUAUUUAGGGACCCACCAGGAAUCACUUCAUUAGCAUAACUCAGGUAUGCUUGAAAGGAGCUUGUU